This 374-nucleotide ribosomal RNA is filed under the name uncultured bacterium. RNAcentral's name for it is "bacterial SSU rRNA". It matches the Rfam family "Bacterial small subunit ribosomal RNA", at positions 523 to 898 of the family's 1533-position model. The record is from RNAcentral.
AUACGUAGGUGGCGAGCGUUAUCCGGAUUUACUGGGUGUAAAGGGUGUGUAGGCGGGGCUGCAAGUCUGGUGUGAAAUUUAACGGCUUAACCGUUAAUGUGCAUUAGAAACUGCGGCUCUUGAGGGCCGGAGGGGUAAACGGAAUUCCCGGUGUAGCGGUAAAAUGCGUAGAUAUCGGGAGGAACACCAGUGGCGAAGGCGGUUUACUGGACGGCAACUGACGCUGAGACACGAAAGCGUGGGGAGCAAACAGGAUUAGAUACCCUGGUAGUCCACGCCCUAAACGAUGAAUAUUAGGUGUGGGUGCGAAAAGCAUCCGUGCCGCAGCUAACGCAGUAAAUAUUCCACCUGGGGAGUACGGCCGCAAGGUUGAA